This is a long non-coding RNA of Monopterus albus (swamp eel), 1342 nucleotides long. RefSeq lists it as uncharacterized. Lineage: Eukaryota; Metazoa; Chordata; Actinopteri; Synbranchiformes; Synbranchidae. The transcript has 8 exons. The record is from RefSeq and is a predicted model, not a curated record.
GCCAUAAAAAAACUGCUCCAACAUUACCCCUCUGAGCAUGGAUUUAACGGAUAUGUUUGGUCAUAAAUGCCUAAAAUGAUGUUGAUUGGACAAACUCUACCCAUGUGACCUCUCGUGUAUACUGUUGCCAGAUUGGGGCAACAAAAUGCAAACAAAUAUGGACUAUUAUGGAAUAUUAACUCUGCUUGGCAAUAUUAACUUAAUACUUGUUUCUUGUCAAAGUUUAGUUCUACUGUAUUUAUGUAGGCUGUGGCCACUUUAUAAGAAAAAAAACAUAAUUAUAGUGACAUUUAAGCGCAUAUCUUCUUAAAACCUUUCUACUAAAUGAAAAUGAUAAAGUAUCUUUAUGACAAUUUUAGUUACCUUUUAAUCGCUCAAAUCUGGCAACCCUGUGUAUGGAUUCUAGCUAAUAGAUGUCACAGAGGGCGUUGCUGGCAUCGUUGGGAAACCUCUGCUAGCUGACAAAGUUAGCUAACGCUAACUCGUACAGGAUGCUGGGUACCGUUUUAAUGGUAGCCAGGCACCUCACAGCUUGGUAAAACGAACGGAUACUGUCGUGACUGUUACUUCAGUGCGGAACUAUAACACAAAAGGCCAAAGGAAGCAUGAGGCGCUCAACAAAAUUCUCAUGGAGGACUUACCAUACAAAGAUUUUUGAAAUUCCACCAGGAAGAUGAUGGUCACCACUCCCAUCAGUACCCAGGAGAAGAUGAAGCUAAAUCCAACACCGCUGUGGAGGAGAACAGACAGGCCCUCAGACAGCUUUUAUUGGUCUGAAUGUGCUGCAGGGUCUCCAAGAAUGUGGAGGCCAUCUGCGACAAGCUGCCAAGCAAAUUUAAGUGAGCCUGUGUCCACAGUGGAUGUCGGUCACCUUUAACCAUCAUGUACUCUGCAGCAUACGUAAGGAUGGAAAAUGCUGUGUGCACGAGGUAAUCUGCUAACAGUGCUCCCUGUCUUUCUGAUCUAUGGCCUCAUCCAACCCGAGGGCAGACACAGGAUACCGAAGGUGCAGCCCCGAGGUGCACUGUGAUUGGUGGAGCAGCGAUCAGAAGUUCCUGAUAUUGACCAAACUGAAGCUCAUCUCAGUCUUCAGCAGCAUAAGGACCUUAGCCCUCUGAGGACCUGUUGAAAGAUUUACUCUACCUGACCUCACCCCCUCAACAGAUACUGUGCAGCUCAGCCUCAGGACAGGUGAGGUCAUCUGUAUAAACCUCAGCUUCUUGGCAGUAAUACAAACAAUCCUCCUCCUGGUUUCUGUUAUCAGUGUAAAGAACAGUAAUCCUCUCAUUUGCUUCCAGCAGCAGAAAAUAUACAGGUUCAUAUACACUCACUGGCCACUUUA